Molecule: transfer RNA, 71 nt
Filed under: Trematomus bernacchii (emerald rockcod)
Lineage: Eukaryota; Metazoa; Chordata; Actinopteri; Perciformes; Nototheniidae
Description: tRNA-Asp
Source: RNAcentral
AAGACACUAGUAAAAUUUAAUUAUGCGGUCUUGUCAGGGCCAGGUUGUGAGCUAAGACCUCACGUGUUUUA